ACAUUAACAGUCAUCGUCCUGUACAGGUGACAUACAGGAGACCCACAGUACGAUCAGAAUCAACUAUGGGAGCAGACAGGUCACAGUCAUGACCUCACUGAGAAAUCAAGAUACACACUUAUCUUCUGCCAAUCUGAACACGCCAACUGACGGUACCAGACAAACCACAACCAACAUCACAAGGUUGUCAUGCUGACAACAAACCACCUCCAUGUUAUCCUCAUGUCGCACCGCACACGUGUGGCACUACCGACAGCCUUCAAGUUGAUCACCAACCACUCCAACGACGCAGUUCCACCGCUCUCCAAUGUGAAAGUGCGCACCCUGUGAACUACAGCACCCUCGUAUCUACUUCAAACUUCUAACACGACCUAACACAGAGACUAAAAGUACUGCCCUUUUCACUUCACAUCAGCCAUCCCAGCGGCUACUUCCUCUGUGCACUCUCGACAAAGAACGCCAGACAAUGAAAGUCUCUGCAGUUCCACCGCAUGCCACCACUGCAUCUUUUCCGUUCUUCCAAGAGCUGUUGCGCAUGAAUACGAACACCUGCAAGUUGUACCGACACUACUACUUGUACUUGUAUCUCCGCUUCCGUUCAUGUACUUCCGCACCUAAUGAGCCCCUCAAAGAUGAAACUGCAGCGGAAGACUCAGCUACAGCAAAACUCCUACUCCAAUGGAUCUCAAAGAGGCAUCCGUCUACAGUGGCUUCUGGUACCGUACUUGUACUUGUACACUCCACUCUACAUGGUAUCAUCGAAGUCAUUAGUGCCAGACACACACUUUGUCUAACUACAAGACGAUACUGAACAUACAACGCAGCCGCCCUCUCAUGGAGUCCUUGGCAUCCUCCUCAUCCCCUCAAACGAAACAAUGACGCAUAGCAACGUGACUCGUCUCGUCGCCAGAGCCCACGUCAUGGUGGUCACGACAGCCAUUGUCUCAACCCAAAUCGAUGCUAUUUAUACACGUCAUUCUCUGUGAUUAAUGAUGUCUAGCAAGAGCUGCCGCCUGAAACGCUGCGAGUGCCAGCAUAUGUGCGCACAUGUGGUACUAGACAAGAAAUUGAAAACAAACAAACCGACAGUUGCCUAUGACUGCUUCGUCAUUCCGGCAACUGGACAACCCUCCCUGUGCCAUCUGGGACUUAAUCAUCGCUCACUACUUGUAGGUCCUGAAUACCAGCGUGGAGGGAACUGCGAGGAGUGAAUGACGUACUUAUCAAACAACUCAGGGAAGACAAUAGCAAAGACUUAUCUGUCUCUUCUCCGCACCAGCAUUCCCCUUGUUCGGGCCACCGGAAUCUAUUCUUCUUGUCCUCCGCGUUUUUGUUAUUUUCUGCAUGCCUGGGGCUGAUAUAUGUGGCUGGUGCUGUGGCUGGAAAAGUGGCUCCACUUUUGAGGUUGGGAGGCAUCAUCAUCAUGCAACUAUCACGUGCCGAGGUAGGGGCUAGGUCGAAGAGCUGUUCUUACCCUAACCUUUAUUUACCCAUUUGACUGCCUAAUCGGAAUUUAGACUUCUUCCUUGGGAUAUGUGGAUUCCUAGUUGGGAGAGAGGAUGCAGGGGUGGCAGCGCCGAGUAAAGGUAAUGGAAAUUGGGCGGCUACUUCACGUGACUCACCAUGACCAGCGAUGCGCAACCUAAAGUCACGUGGAGUAGAGUUCCAGAUGGUGGUAACGAAUGGAAUCUUCAUCGUCGAAACGUGCUAAAAAGGGUGAGACAGGAACGUUGGAGGAAAGAUGUCGUGGAGAAGUCGCGUUCUUCUAAACAAUUUGGUUGGGGUCAUAACCUCGUCAGAAGUCCGAUAAUAUCUACACGUCACGUGCCCCCGUUUAUCCCUGUAUUUGUUUACUUUUUUCGUGCAUACAUGUCAGCGGUUAUGAGCGGUAUUAUAUGUACAAAGUGAAUGUCGGGCCUUGCACUAGGCGCUUGACUCAUGUCACAUGUUCGGGUUGGACGUGAUUAUUCAUGUCAGGUACCUGUCACGUGAUGGGCCGACGAUACAACGUCCGGUGUUACUAUUUUGACAUCUCCACCCAUCCGGUCGUUGAUUAUCCUGUAAACAUGGGGUUCCGAAAAGACCCGAGAGGUUGCAUAAACUUGCAUAACUGCAUGCAUGGGCUUGCGUGAAAGCGUCAACAUGCAACCCUAUUGCCCUUGAACCGUGCUAACAAGGAGACAAAGCCGAGGAUGAGGAAGAAGAAAAAAAGUGCUGCAUUGAAACUAAAGCCAAAGAAGUGAAAUUUCGGUUUAAAUCGAAUAUAAUAGCAGGAAACACACAAAAU
Molecule: unclassified non-coding RNA, 2287 nt
Filed under: Yarrowia lipolytica
Lineage: Eukaryota; Fungi; Ascomycota; Dipodascomycetes; Dipodascales
Source: RNAcentral